RNAcentral lists this ribosomal RNA (301 nucleotides) under uncultured bacterium. Its description in RNAcentral is "partial 16S ribosomal RNA". It matches the Rfam family "Bacterial small subunit ribosomal RNA", at positions 509 to 807 of the family's 1533-position model. The record is from RNAcentral.
CAGUCGCCACGGUAAUACGUAGGUGGCAAGCGUUGUCCGGAAUUAUUGGGCGUAAAGGGCUCGCAGGCGGUUUCCUAAGUCUGAUGUGAAAGCCCCCGGCUCAACCGGGGAGGGUCAUUGGAAACUGGGAAACUUGAGUGCAGAAGAGGAGAGAGGAAUUCCACGUGUAGCGGUGAAAUGCGUAGAGAUGUGGAGGAACACCAGUGGCGAAGGCGACUCUCUGGUCUGUAACUGACGCUGAGGAGCGAAAGCGUGGGGAGCGAACAGGAUUAGAUACCCCUGUAGUCCCUGUCUCUUAUAC